CUCUCUUUCCUGACACAGUAUCUCAACAAAACAAAAUACCAAAAUAAAACAAAGGCCAAAACCAAAAGCAGAAACAGAUCAAGCAGCUCAACCUCUCUAGCCUCUUAAUGAAUAAUGAUAGAUCGAACCAGAAGCAAAACAGUUGAGUUGAAGAUCGAAGCUCUAGGUCAAAACACACUCUCUCUUUCUCAAUUUUUGUAGUUUUUUCUUUCGACUUCAUCAAAGUCUAAACCCUAAAUGCUCGCCUUCUCAAGCACAACAACUUCAAAAGGAUUUAUCAUUUUCUUGGAGAUCUUAUAGAGUCGUAUUCUUAGCAUCAUCAAAGUCAGCCGCGUCGAGCCGUCAUGGUCUGUGUGACAAGCUAAAAGGUCACAUUGACUUGAGCAAAAGAAUAGUUAAGCUUGUAAAUAGAGGCAGAACAAUUAGCAAGCUCGUUCACUCUAUCGUGCGACCCGUGCCUGAGACUCUUGGAAUCGAAUUAGAGGUAUUGAUUUUGAUUUGAUUGUCGACAUAUUUUUGUUUUUAGAUUUUUUUUUUUUUUAUAUUUUAUAGUGUUUAAUUAGCAAUAAAUUUGAAUUUCUAGAGUAAUUUAGGUGUACUGGCGAAUUAAAUGUUGAUUUUAUGUAUUUACUUUUUGAUUUGAAAUCCGCUUUCUCUUAAGUGUUAUUCGUUUGUGUUUCGAAUGCAGGUUUAGUGCUUGAUGAAUUGCCUCAUUCGGGUCUACUUUUUAUGAUGCAGAAAACUUAUUGUUUUUUUUUUCUAUCUAAAUUUGGUUGUUAUUAAUUAAUAAAAGUAGAGAGAUUCAGUUGUUAUUCUUGGUUCUUUAUGCAGAUGGUGCUCUUGCUUUUCUUCUGUGUUCUAUUCUUUUUGUUCAAGAUAUUUAUAGUUGUCGAUCCAAUAUUUAUUUAUUCAUUAGUUUUUACUGAAAGCAUAAAUACUCUUCCACUCGCCAAAAAUUAUUUUAUUCCAGUAGUUUUUCAAUUGUAAUGCCAGCUAGGUCCUACCAAUGCUAUUAUUUUAUGCCAGUAGUUUGAGUUCAGGUUCCCAGUGGUUUUCUUCAUUUUAAACGUGGUUAGGCAAUUGGAGUAUUGAUAACAUUCAAGCCGUUUUUAGUUCAACGCCGCAACUAGAGAAAGAUCCUUUUAAUUUUCAAGCCAAUUAAGUUUUCGGAAUGCUUCAACCAAGUUAUUUCUUUGGGGUUCCAC
Molecule: long non-coding RNA, 1205 nt
Filed under: Citrus x clementina
Lineage: Eukaryota; Viridiplantae; Streptophyta; Magnoliopsida; Sapindales; Rutaceae
Description: Citrus clementina (C. clementina) long non-coding RNA (CCLE_LNC002742)
Source: RNAcentral